Molecule: ribosomal RNA, 457 nt
Filed under: Dictyopterini sp. UPOL 001282
Lineage: Eukaryota; Metazoa; Arthropoda; Insecta; Coleoptera; Lycidae
Description: partial 16S ribosomal RNA
Source: RNAcentral
CAUGGUUUUUUGAUUAUAAUUUAAAAUCUAAUCUGCUCAAUGAUUUUUUAAAUUGCCGCAAUAUUUUGAUUGUGCAAAGGUAGCAUAAUAAUUAGUUUCUUGAUUAGAAGCUGGAAUGAAUGAUUGGACGAUAAAAUGGCUGUCUCUAGUUAAUUGAUCAAUAAAUUUUAUUUUUAAGUUAAAAAGCUUAAAUUUUAUUAAAAGACGAGAAGACCCCAUAGAGUUUUAUAAUUAAAAUUUUUUUAUAUUUGGAAGUUUUUCUUAAUUUUUAUUAUUUGAUUGGGGUGAUUUGAAAAUUUAAUUAAUUUUUUAAAAUUUAAAUUUUUAAUAUAAAAAUUUACUAUCUAUAUGUUUAAAGUUAAAAUAAAUUACCUUGGGGAUAACAGCGUAAUUUUUUUAAAAGUUCUUAUUGAAAAAAAAGUUUGCGACCUCGAUGUUGGAUUAAAAUUAAUUUUAG